Molecule: ribosomal RNA, 253 nt
Filed under: uncultured bacterium
Lineage: Bacteria
Description: partial 16S ribosomal RNA
Rfam family: Bacterial small subunit ribosomal RNA
Source: RNAcentral
UACGAAGGGUGCAAGCGUUAAUCGGAAUUACUGGGCGUAAAGGGUGCGUAGGCGGUUGUUUAAGUCUGUCGUGAAAUCCCCGGGCUCAACCUGGGAAUGGCGAUGGAUACUGGACAGCUAGAGUGUGUCAGAGGAUGGUGGAAUUCCCGGUGUAGCGGUGAAAUGCGUAGAUAUCGGUAGGAACACCAGUGGCGAAGGCGGUCUCCUGGGGCAUUCUUGACGCUGAGGCGCGAAAGCUGGGGGAGCGAACGGG